Molecule: long non-coding RNA, 1576 nt
Organism: Equus quagga
Lineage: Eukaryota; Metazoa; Chordata; Mammalia; Perissodactyla; Equidae
Exons: 2
Source: RefSeq, a predicted model, not a curated record
GUGAGUGGGAACUGACUUAAGAAACCCGAGAAGCUGAAAGCUGACUGUUCAUGGGGAGCCAUCAGGACUCAAGGCAAUUUAUAGAUCCUCAGAAAGCCUCAGGACUGGAGGGACCAGGACUCUCCAAAGACCAAGGUGCAGAGCAGAACUAAAACAGAAGGGCUGGCUGGUUACCCGUCUGGGGGACAACUGGGUUUCUAGUCUCCUACUCCAGCUGGCACAGGCAGGACAUGACCCCUCCCAGCCACAGCAGGAGGCUCCCAUGCGGGAGAGACGGGAAGAAGAUAAUCUGAGAUGGUGUUCACACAGGGCUCAGCACCGGGCCUGGGACGCAGCAGGUCCUUGGUCAAGAUUCGGGCUGGGCUCACCUAGGUAAUUCUUCUGUUCCUCACGGCAUGACUGAAGUCACGUAUUCAGCAGGCAGCUGUUCUGGUCUGGAGGGUUCACUAACAUGCUUGGUUUCCUGGUAGGGAUGGCAGACAGGCUGCACUGAGCUGGACUGUCGACUAGAGUGACUGCGUGGAUUCUCCAGGGUGACGGCCUCCAGGUAGUCGGACUUUCCACAUAGCGACUCAGGGUUUCUGGAGAGAAUGUUCAAGAGGCCUCGAUGGAAGCUGCAAGGCUUCUUAUGACCUAGGCUCCAAGUCCAGGAAUAUAAUUUCCACUAUAUUCCAUCAAUCAGAUAAGUCAUUCAGUCCAGCCCAGGUACAAAAGGAGGAACAUUAAACUCCAUCUCACAAUGGGAGAAAUAGCAAAGAACUUGUGUCACCUUUAAUCAACCAGCAAGUCAUCCAGGUUGACUUGCCUUUGAGGAACGUGCUGGGAAUCGGUGGGACUGAUGUUGGAGAGGGACUUGAAUGUCACGACAGGGGCUGAGGAGAUAGUAACAAGGUGGGGAGUGAAGGUUCUGGAGUCAGAUUCAAAUUGGAAUCCCAGCUCUGCCACUUACAACACAUGCACCAAGCAGGCUGUUCCUUUCUCUGAGCCUCAGUGUUCUCAUCUGUAAAACGAGGAGCUCAGUUCCUAUUUCACAGCAUUGCUGUAAAGAGUAAAUGGGAUGGUGCUUAUAAAGUGCUUCUCAGAGUACCUGGCUCUGAGUAUGUCUCAAUAAAUGGAGCCGUUAUUAUUCAUCCUGAGUAACAUGGAGAGCCAGGCAAGGGUCUUACAAAAAAACCCUUUGAAGAAUCAUUUUUGACCCACUCUCUCCCCCACUCCCACUACAACCCAACCCAAGUCCAGCUGAUUUCACCUCUUAAAUGUAGCCUGAAUCCAGUGUUCCCCGUCUCCCCCACCGUCACCAGCAUCUCCACCUGGACCACUGGGUUGCCUCCUUCCUGCUUCAUCUGGCCCCUCUGUCAGGCCUUCCCCUCACAGCAGCGAGCCCAGGCUUAACCUGCAACGUGCACACAAGCCACCUGGGGUGCUUGGUAAAAUACAGAUUCCAGUUCAGUAGGUCUAUGGUGGGGUCUGAGAGUCUGCGGGUCUAACGGGCUCCCAGAUGAUCUCAAUGCUGAUGAUUCCUGGACCACACUUCGAGUAGCUGGAGAGUAUUUUUCCAAAUAAAAGUUUGACUCUA